GAUGAAGAACGUAGCGAAAUGCGAUAAGUAAUGUGAAUUGCAGAAUUCAGUGAAUCAUCGAAUCUUUGAACGCACCUUGCACCCUUUGGCAUUCCGAAGGGUAUGCUCGUUUGAGUGUCAUUGUACUCUCACACUCUCCGAUACUAUGGAUUCGGGGAGCGGUGGACUUGGGUGUUGCUGCCUUUCCUUGUGGCUCACCUCAAAUGUGUCAGUGCACCUCUUGGUUGGACAUAGUACGGCGUGAUAAGUGUCUUCGCCGGCACCUCGCAAGAGGGUGGCCGAUCGGGAGCUCUGUGCUUUCAAACCGUCUUCGGACAAUUUCUGACAACUUGACCUCAAAUCGAGUAGGACUACCCGCUGAACUUAAGCAUAUCAAUAAGCGGAGGA
This 387-nucleotide unclassified non-coding RNA is filed under the name soil metagenome. RNAcentral's name for it is "partial contains 5.8S ribosomal RNA, internal transcribed spacer 2, and large subunit ribosomal RNA". The stretch from base 1 to 120 matches the Rfam family "5.8S ribosomal RNA", at positions 35 to 154 of the family's 154-position model. The record is from RNAcentral.